Molecule: ribosomal RNA, 232 nt
Filed under: uncultured bacterium
Lineage: Bacteria
Description: partial 16S ribosomal RNA
Rfam family: Bacterial small subunit ribosomal RNA
Source: RNAcentral
CGUUCCUACGGGGGGCAGCAGUGGGGGAUAUUGCACAAUGGGGGAAACCCUGAUGCCGCGACGCCGCGUGAGCGAUGAAGUAUUUCGGUAUGUAAAGCUCUCUCAGCAGGGAAGAAAAUGACGGUACCUGACUAAUAAGCCCCGGCUAACUACGUGCCAGCAGCCGCGGUAAUACGUAGGGGGCAAGCGUUAUCCGGAUUUACUGGGUGUAAAGGGAGCGUAGACGGCAGUG